RNAcentral lists this unclassified non-coding RNA (277 nucleotides) under sea anemone metagenome. RNAcentral describes it as "partial contains small subunit ribosomal RNA and internal transcribed spacer 1". The stretch from base 1 to 158 matches the Rfam family "Eukaryotic small subunit ribosomal RNA", at positions 1678 to 1831 of the family's 1831-position model. The record is from RNAcentral.
GCUACUACCGAUUGAAUGGUUUAGUGAGGCCUCCUGAUUGGCGCCGCCGCCCCGGCAACGGAGCAGCGGACUGCCGAAAAGUUGUUCAAACUUGAUCAUUUAGAGGAAGUAAAAGUCGUAACAAGGUUUCCGUAGGUGAACCUGCAGAAGGAUCAAAAUUGGAAGAGCCGCGUGUAAGGAGAGAGUGUAGAACUCGGUGUGCGCCGGUUCGCCGAAAAAAAAAACACAGCCGCACCUUAACUCACCUGCUAACUCAUAGCACUAUACCCAUGCCAUU